RNAcentral lists this transfer RNA (71 nucleotides) under Presbytis femoralis femoralis. RNAcentral's name for it is "tRNA-Phe". It matches the Rfam family "tRNA". Rfam says of the family: Transfer RNA (tRNA) molecules are approximately 80 nucleotides in length. The record is from RNAcentral. Lineage: Eukaryota; Metazoa; Chordata; Mammalia; Primates; Cercopithecidae.
GUUUAUGUAGCUUAAUAUUUCCAAAGCAAGACACUGAAAAUGCCUAGACGGGUCUAUGAACCCCAUAAACA